GAUGAACGCUGGCGGCGUGCCUAAUACAUGCAAGUCGAGCGAACAGACGAGGAGCUUGCUCCUUCGACGUUAGCGGCGGACGGGUGAGUAACACGUGGAUAACCUACCUAUAAGACUGGGAUAACUUCGGGAAACCGGAGCUAAUACCGGAUAAUAUUUUGAACCGCGGGGUUCGAUAGUGAAAGACGGCUGUGCUGUCACUUAUCGAGGGAUCUGCGCGGUAUUGGCUAGUUGGUAAGUUAACGGCUUACCAAGGCAACGAUGCCUAGCCGACCUGAGGGGGGGAUGGGCGACAGAGGAAGUGAGACACGGCACUGGCUCUGAGGGGAGGCAGCGGCAGGUAAUCUUCGCAACAGGGGGAAAGCUUGCCGGAUAAACGCAGGGUGGGUGCAGAAGGGCUGCGUACGGGAAAACUCUGUUAUUGGGGAAGACCAAUUUUGUAAGUAACGGUGCAUGUCUGACGGUAACCUAUCAAGAAGGCCCGGCUAACUACGUG
Molecule: ribosomal RNA, 496 nt
Filed under: uncultured bacterium
Lineage: Bacteria
Description: partial 16S ribosomal RNA
Rfam family: Bacterial small subunit ribosomal RNA
Source: RNAcentral